AUCAAACACACUGAAGAUACUGAAGAACUAACAGAGUUGACUGAAGAAAGUGAGGAGACUGAAGAAUUGAGUGAAGUUGAGGGGAAAAAUCACUUCAGAACUG
Sinocyclocheilus rhinocerous is the source of this 103-nucleotide long non-coding RNA. RefSeq lists it as uncharacterized. The transcript is spliced from 2 exons. NCBI's taxonomy places the organism in Eukaryota, Metazoa, Chordata, Actinopteri, Cypriniformes, Cyprinidae. The record is from RefSeq and is a predicted model, not a curated record.